RNAcentral lists this ribosomal RNA (1472 nucleotides) under metagenome. RNAcentral describes it as "bacterial SSU rRNA". It matches the Rfam family "Bacterial small subunit ribosomal RNA". The record is from RNAcentral.
AGAGUUUGAUCCUGGCUCAGGACGAACGCUGGCGGCGCGCCUAACACAUGCAAGUCGAACGAGCAAAGAGGAGCUUGCUUCUCUGAGCGAGUGGCGAACGGGUGAGUAACGCGUGAGGAACCUGCCUCAAAGAGGGGGACAACAGUUGGAAACGACUGCUAAUACCGCAUAAGCCCACGGGUCGGCAUCGACCAGAGGGAAAAGGAGCAAUCCGCUUUGAGAUGGCCUCGCGUCCGAUCAGCUAGUUGGUAAGGUAACGGCUUACCAAGGCGACGAUCAGUAGCCGGACUGAGAGGUUGAUCGGCCACAUUGGGACUGAGACACGGCCCAGACUCCUACGGGAGGCAGCAGUGGGGAAUAUUGCACAAUGGAGGAAACUCUGAUGCAGCGAUGCCGCGUGAGGGAAGAAGGUUUUAGGAUUGUAAACCUCUGUCUUCAGGGACGAAAAAAGACGGUACCUGAGGAGGAAGCUCCGGCUAACUACGUGCCAGCAGCCGCGGUAAUACGUAGGGAGCGAGCGUUGUCCGGAAUUACUGGGUGUAAAGGGAGCGUAGGCGGGAUCGCAAGUCAGAUGUGAAAACUAUGGGCUUAACCCAUAAACUGCAUUUGAAACUGUGGUUCUUGAGUGAAGUAGAGGUAAGCGGAAUUCCUAGUGUAGCGGUGAAAUGCGUAGAUAUUAGGAGGAACAUCAGUGGCGAAGGCGGCUUACUGGGCUUUAACUGACGCUGAGGCUCGAAAGCGUGGGGAGCAAACAGGAUUAGAUACCCUGGUAGUCCACGCCGUAAACGAUGAUUACUAGGUGUGGGGGGACUGACCCCUUCCGUGCCGCAGCAAACGCAAUAAGUAAUCCACCUGGGGAGUACGACCGCAAGGUUGAAACUCAAAGGAAUUGACGGGGGCCCGCACAAGCAGUGGAGUAUGUGGAUUAAUUCGAAGCAACGCGAAGAACCUUACCAGGUCUUGACAUCGUAUGCAUAGCUCAGAGAUGAGUGAAAUCUCUUCGGAGACAUAUAGACAGGUGGUGCAUGGUUGUCGUCAGCUCGUGUCGUGAGAUGUUGGGUUAAGUCCCGCAACGAGCGCAACCCUUACUGUUAGUUGCUACGCAAGAGCACUCUAGCAGGACUGCCGUUGACAAAACGGAGGAAGGUGGGGAUGACGUCAAAUCAUCAUGCCCCUUAUGACCUGGGCCUCACACGUACUACAAUGGCUGUCAACAGAGGGAAGCAAAGCCGCGAGGUGGAGCGAACCCCUAAAAGCAGUCUUAGUUCGGAUUGUAGGCUGCAACCCGCCUACAUGAAGUCGGAAUUGCUAGUAAUCGCAGAUCAGCAUGCUGCGGUGAAUACGUUCCCGGGCCUUGUACACACCGCCCGUCACGCCAUGGGAGUCGGUAACACCCGAAGCCUGUAGUCUAACCGCAAGGAGGACGCAGUCGAAGGUGGGAUUGAUGACUGGGGUGAAGUCGUAACAAGGUA